AACGUUCGGAAAGUAACGCUAAUACCGCAUACGCCUACGGGNGAAAGCAGGGGACCUUCGGGCCUUGCGCUAUCAGAUGAGCCUAGGUCGGAUUAGCUAGUUGGUGAGGUAAUGGCUCACCAAGGCGACGAUCCGUAACUGGUCUGAGAGGAUGAUCAGUCACACUGGAACUGAGACACGGUCCAGACUCCUACGGGAGGCAGCAGCC
RNAcentral lists this ribosomal RNA (208 nucleotides) under uncultured Pseudomonas sp. RNAcentral's name for it is "partial 16S ribosomal RNA". It matches the Rfam family "Bacterial small subunit ribosomal RNA", at positions 145 to 355 of the family's 1533-position model. Lineage: Bacteria; Pseudomonadati; Pseudomonadota; Gammaproteobacteria; Pseudomonadales; Pseudomonadaceae. The record is from RNAcentral.